This 483-nucleotide ribosomal RNA is filed under the name uncultured bacterium. Its description in RNAcentral is "partial 16S ribosomal RNA". It matches the Rfam family "Bacterial small subunit ribosomal RNA", at positions 30 to 506 of the family's 1533-position model. The record is from RNAcentral.
AUUGAACGCUGGCGGCAGGCCUAACACAUGCAAGUCGAGCGGAUGAAGGGAGCUUGCUCCUGGAUUCAGCGGCGGACGGGUGAGUAAUGCCUAGGAAUCUGCCUGGUAGUGGGGGAUAACGUCCGGAAACGGGCGCUAAUACCGCAUACGUCCUGAGGGAGAAAGUGGGGGAUCUUCGGACCUCACGCUAUCAGAUGAGCCUAGGUCGGAUUAGCUAGUUGGUGGGGUAAAGGCCUACCAAGGCGACGAUCCGUAACUGGUCUGAGAGGAUGAUCAGUCACACUGGAACUGAGACACGGUCCAGACUCCUACGGGAGGCAGCAGUGGGGAAUAUUGGACAAUGGGCGAAAGCCUGAUCCAGCCAUGCCGCGUGUGUGAAGAAGGUCUUCGGAUUGUAAAGCACUUUAAGUUGGGAGGAAGGGCAGUAAGUUAAGACCUGGCUGUUUUGACGUUACCAACAGAAGAAGCACCGGCUAACUUCGU